GCGUGGGUUUGGAAGAGGUGAUGAAUGACUGGAAGUUGAAUCGUUAUUAAAGAGACCUUACCAGUGGAAAGAGAAGGAAUGGAGGAAUUAUGUAAAUGGACAGUGUGUCGCCAACAAGACUACAUCAGGCUUAGGAUCUGUUUUGAUGUGGACAAUAAGGAGGCACAAUUUGUCUCUCUCUCUCUCUCUCUCUCUAGUAUGAAGGUGUGGCUAUUUGAAGGCAUGCAGAUCUGGCUCUCAGGCCUCAACUGUUCCCAAACCACAACUACAAGUCUUUGUUUGAGCAUCAUAUUCCCACCAGCUAUAAUGUGAACAAAGCAGCGAUUCAAUUCUUUUUUUAAAUCGGAUCUACAAGAAAAACAACAACAUCUAAUGUUGUGGAGGGAACUACUCGUUCUCUGAUAACUCUGGUUUCACUUAAAGUCUGAUUCUUCUGGCUUAGAAGACUUCCACCGCUUGCAGGCUUAAACAGUCAUUGUCCUUUUCCGCGGCUAGCGUUCUUAGAAUAAUAUGGAGAGAAAAAACCACAGUGUACCAAGUAACAAUAUCAGUGCAUUAACUUACGCUAAGGCCAGAGCUGCAGAUGUCUCUGUGUAUUUUCCACAGCUGUAAACACUCCCAAAGUGAUGGAGAGAGAACGGAAUUUGCAAAGAUGUGCAAAAGUUGUCACAUGGGCAUUUUAUUGAAAACCUUCAAGCCUAUACUCUCCCUGGUGCAGAUGACCUCACAUUCAUUUCCUGAUUUUUCUUUUCUCUUCUCCCAUGAAGCAUUUCUUUACAGAGGAUGAAACUGGCCUUUUUUCUUUGCUUAGUUUUUUUCCAUCUGCACACGUGCAUUUUCGCAACAAAAAAACCCCACAGUUGUUUAACCGAUUUUCCUCAAUAAAGUACACAUUUUGCGCUUA
This is a non-coding RNA of Salmo salar (Atlantic salmon), 904 nucleotides long. NCBI's taxonomy places the organism in Eukaryota, Metazoa, Chordata, Actinopteri, Salmoniformes, Salmonidae. The record is from RefSeq and is a predicted model, not a curated record.